This is a long non-coding RNA of Triticum dicoccoides, 722 nucleotides long. RefSeq lists it as uncharacterized. The transcript is spliced from 2 exons. NCBI's taxonomy places the organism in Eukaryota, Viridiplantae, Streptophyta, Magnoliopsida, Poales, Poaceae. The record is from RefSeq and is a predicted model, not a curated record.
GGUCGGACCCUUCCCUGGACCCUGCGCAAGCGGGAGCUACAUGCACCAGGUUGCCCUUUAUUACAGACUAUUGUACCUAAAAGCAUCAACAAAUUCUCCCAAUUCUGCAUUUGGCGAAAACUGAUAAGAAUUGGGAGCAGCGAGGAGUACCUGGCGAGGACCGGGCGGGGGAGCAGCAAGGAUCAGGCUGGUCAGUGCGGUUGAGAGGACCAGGUUGGUGCAGCGAGGACUAGAUUGGGAGGAGCGGUGGGGCGGCUAGGCUGGGGCAGCGGCGAUCAAAUUGGGAGCGGUGGCCACCAGACUGGGCGGAGGAGGAGGAGGAGGAGGAGCAGGCGGCGGAGGAGGAGGAGGUAGAGGGCGGAGGAGGAGGUGGCCGGACUAGCAGCUGGAGGAGGUGGAGGGCGCAGGUGGCCUGGCGGAGGAAGACUACGAGGAGGAGCCUGGCGGAGGAAGACGAUGACUCGUUUUCAAAUCAGGGGUAUUUUUGUACAUUUGCUCGUUUCCACCUGGUCUGAAAAAUCCCCCAACGACAACUAUUUCGGAACAGAGGGAGUAGUAGGCUAGAAAAGGCCUCAUUCAAUCCGCUUUUCACGAACCGAACUCUUUCUAACACCGUACCCAUCAAGGUACGAUGUUCCUCUAAGACGGAGGCAUGUUACAAAAUGUCCAUCAAUGCAUCCGGCAUUCCUUGGACAUCUGAUAAUCUGGGACCUUUGUUGUUC